This 2695-nucleotide long non-coding RNA is filed under the name Gallus gallus (chicken). RNAcentral's name for it is "lncRNA (ENSGALG00010004581.1)". The record is from RNAcentral. Lineage: Eukaryota; Metazoa; Chordata; Aves; Galliformes; Phasianidae.
AGUACUGCUCUCCCACACCGGAGUGCAAGAAGCUGAGUUCUUAGCACUGGCGUGCCGUUGCUUCACAGUACCAGCACAAAGGGUUGGCGGUAUGUGUCAGCCUGCACGUCUUUGAAGGUGCUGGGAAUGAUUACACAGCCAGGGAGAAGAACUUGCCAGUGAUCGCGAGAGACACCGAGCAGUCCUCUCCAGACAUUCGUUGUCGAUCCUUUGUCAUACUUGCUCAGAAUUGGACGGCUUCGGAGAUUCUUCCAGAUGAUAACGCUAUAACCGAUUUGAGGAACCUUCGCACCUUUCCAGCUUCCCCUCACGUCCCUUCGCUCUCGUUUCGGGGGAGAAGUGCCCCUCUGUACUCUCCCAGGAGAAUAGCUCCGCAGCCACGGAAGCUCCUGGGCUCUUCCUAUAGCUCCUUUUUUACUCCGUUUUCUGGGGGUGAGGGAGGCCGCCCUCAGCUGACGGGGGUCAACCUCCCGCCGCCGAAGGAGCCUCCCCGACGGCACAGAGCAGCCCCGGGCGGGCGCCGCGCUCCUCGCGUCCCCCGAGCUCUGGUUUUCUUCUUCCUGAAGCGCUGUGUACACAAAGGGCUCGCUUCUGCCUUUCAAUUAGGUGGCUGAGGAGCGCUACCGGAGGAGCCCGGGAUCCCCGAGGGCGCGGAGCUGCGUGCGAGUCCCACAGCCGGAGGAGAAAGGAAACGCGAAGAGCUUCUUCCAGCGGACGCUGCUCCCCUUCCCCUCCAUCCUGCGGGGUGAGGAACGGAGGGGCUCGGAGAGCGGCGGGGGGGAGGGUGGGAGGAAUCGCUAUUUUCCUUGAAGAACAAUUCAGGACAAUUAUUAUUAAUGCACGCAGCCGGCACCUGCGCGGCUCUCUGCCCGCUUCCCGAAUGGGACUUUUACUGCCCGUAAGCGGCGAACCAGGGCCGGUAAUAGGAUCAGGAAGGGAGGCGUUAGGCGGAAUGCCGCUGCGGCACUACUCGUAAAGGCGCGCUCCCGACAAACGCCUUCGGCCGAGAGGCUGUAAACGUUUUACGGGUAAUGAGAAAGGCAAGGGUUUGGCACGAAGGGGCGGGAAGGGUCGCACCACCUUUUGCUGGACGGGGCCGUGCUCGUUGCUGAAUGCUGGCGUGGGGGCUUCGGCCCGCCGAACGACCACGGAAAGCAAACCAGUAACUUUUACAGAGGAAAGUAAAAUAUUUCAAGUCAAGAACUCCUCUAGUAGCUGAAAAUUAACUUCUGACAACACGCGAGAUUUUCCCUCCCCGCCAUAUCAAAGAAACGUCUGUACGUUAAUUUCACCCUGAAAGAUUUGAGAAAUAACAGCGCCUCAGGGCAAAUUUUCAGCUUCAGAAGGACCCUUUGAGUCGAAGUAGGCGCAGAGAGUACGCCCAAAGCCGCGCAAUACAGCCUCAUUGAUUUUGCUGCGGUGUUCGCACGCCCGGGGAGUACAGAAGCGCAGAUCCCUGAGUUCUUCUGACGAGAUUUUAAUUAGGAAAUGGAAUUCCCCGCUCUGGAGCUGUGCCUUCGUGUAGAUGAGGCAUGACGGCUGGGAGCUUUGCCGAGGGGUGGGUUGGGGUCACGGUGACGAGAGGAGCGGAGCCAGGGCCGCCCCAAACGGCGGCUCUCUUCCUUCCGUCCUCCGUUCUUCUUUCCUUCCUUUUUUUUUUUUUUUCUUUCUCCCUUCGGUAUGCUGCUGAGAACCGACCCCGUGAAUUUCCCGAAGUGGGCCCCUUGGCGUUAUCACCGCUUAAUUCGAACGUUCCUUUCAAGAGUAAAGCAGCAGAGAGGCAAGGUGCUUGCCGCUAGCUCAGCCUGUGCGUUGUUGCCGUGGAUACGGUUCUAAAGCGGUUCGAUUUUAUCGAUGCAAAAGAAAACGUUGAAAACUGAGGUAAGGAUUGGAUUAGCUCCGUGUCUGCCACCGCGGUGCAGUGUGCGCUGCGCGACGCGUACGAGCGGAGCUACCGCUUGCUCAGAGCUGACCUUGAGAAAGGGAAGAGCGUGACGAGGCGGGCACCGCUCCGUCGGGCUACAGCGCAUCUGUUAUCUUUAAAUGUUUGAAUCCCUUCGUCAAGAUUAUGGCGUUAUUCCAAGUGGUAAAACGCGGCUAUUUCGCUUCUCACUGCCGCAAGAAAAUAGAAACCUCCACUUUCCCCACUCUAGAAAGCAUUUUAAACCCAAAGCAUCAGAGUGUUUUUGCUUUUUAUUUUGCUUUCCCGAUUCAAAGCUGAGACGUUACAAACGAUUACGGGUUGGAAAACCUAUCGGAAACAGUGUGGUCACGUUAUGACAAAGCGCUAAUCUGACGCUUGCAAAACGGUGACAGUUGCAACGUUGUUUUUUUUUUUUUCCUUCUCUCUCCCUUCUCCCACUUUUGUUUCCUUUCCUUUAAAGACAAAGGAUUCGAAAAACAAAAUAAAUAUUAAUAAUAAUCCCAAACGCUCCCGCGGUGACAGUUAGUCCCCCCUCCCCAGUGCAAGGAGUCAGGCCGGGCAAUUGGAAGCUCAUUUAAUUAUUUUCAUUCUAAUCGCUUUAAUCCCCCCCUCCCCCACCCCCCCCCGCCGAGAGCAAAUGACGCUAAUGGGACCCACGUGGAGAAGCCCCGGGGUGGCGGCGCGGCUCCUCCCGGCCCCGUGCCCGGGCAGGUGGAGCCGGCGGGGCGGGGCUCGCCUCGGUCAGAGGCUUUACAAUAAAUAAAAUACUGC